AGAGUUUGAUCAUGGCUCAGAACGAACGCUGGCGGCGUGGAUGAGGCAUGCAAGUCGAACGAACUUUGACGAGUAGCAAUAUUUGUCAAGGAGAGUGGCGUAAGGGUGAGUAAUACGUAGGUAAUCUGCCUCCUAGAUGGGCACAACCUGGCGAAAGCCGGGCUAAUUCCCAAUGUGGCAGCUCCGGGCAUCCGGGGCGAUCUGAAGCCGGGGACCGCAAGGCCUGGCACUAGGAGAUGAGCCUGCGUCCUAUCAGCUUGUUGGUGAGGUAAUGGCUCACCAAGGCUUACGGGUAGCUGGUCUGAGAGGACGAUCAGCCACACUGGGACUGAGACACUGCCCAGACUCCUACGGGAGGCUGCAGUCGAGAAUCUUUCGCAAUGGGGGAAACCCUGACGAAGCGACGCCGCGUGCAGGAUGAAAGCCUUCGGGUUGUAAACUGCUGUCUUUCGGGAGCAAGGAACUAUGGUGAACAGCCAUGGAACUUGAUAGUACCGGAGGAGGAAGCCACGGCUAACUCUGUGCCAGCAGCCGCGGUAAUACAGAGGUGGCAAGCGUCGUUCGGAUUUACUGGGCGUAAAGGGUGCGUAGGCGGUUCUGUGUGUCGGGUGUGAAAUCCCACGGAUUAUCCGUGGAACGGCAUUCGAAACUACAGGGCUAGAGUGCGGGAGAGGAAGGUAGAAUUCUCGGUGUA
RNAcentral lists this ribosomal RNA (694 nucleotides) under uncultured bacterium. RNAcentral describes it as "bacterial SSU rRNA". It matches the Rfam family "Bacterial small subunit ribosomal RNA", at positions 8 to 677 of the family's 1533-position model. The record is from RNAcentral.